Molecule: microRNA, 22 nt
Filed under: Drosophila pseudoobscura
Lineage: Eukaryota; Metazoa; Arthropoda; Insecta; Diptera; Drosophilidae
Description: dps-miR-2576
Source: miRBase by way of RNAcentral
CUCGAGUGUGGAGAGCAUGGGA